This 3823-nucleotide ribosomal RNA is filed under the name Chlorella ohadii. RNAcentral describes it as "large subunit ribosomal RNA". It matches the Rfam family "Bacterial large subunit ribosomal RNA". Lineage: Eukaryota; Viridiplantae; Chlorophyta; Trebouxiophyceae; Chlorellales; Chlorellaceae. The record is from RNAcentral.
AGCAUUUAGUGGAUGCCUAGACAGAAGAAGUAAAAGGACGUUAAACGCAACGAAACGCCAUAGAAAGGUGCGUAAAUCCUGAGAUCUAUGGAUUUCCUAAAAGGAAACUUUAAAAUUUUCAUUACCUAGUGAACUGAAACAUCUCAUUAACUAGAGGAAAAAAAAUCAACCGAGACUCCGUAAGUAGUGGUGAGCGAAAACGGAUUAGGCCUUCAUUCUUCUCAAAAAAAAAACAUCUAAGCUGUUUGGAAAAAUGCGCCAAAGAAGGUGAAAGCCCUGUAGAUGUGUGAAUUUGAAAAUUAAAGAAUGAAAUAAAUGAGUAAAACGAACACCUUGUUUGUUUGAAUUGGAAAUUUCUUGUUUAAAAUGGAAACAUUAUUAGAUAAGAAACUUCUUAAAGGGGGACCACCCUCUAAGCCUAAGUAUAUUCUUCUGAUCGAUAGCGAACAAGUACCGUGAGGGAAAGGUGAAAAAGACUCCUAAAAAGGUAAGUGAAAGAGAUACUGAAACUGAAUGCUUACAAGCAGUCGAAGCUUUUUAAAAAAGUAACGGCGUACCUUUUGCAUAAUGGGUCAGCGAGUAAAUUUAUGAAGCAAGCCUAAGCUCUUAAGUGGAGGCGGAGUAAAAGCGAGCUUGAAAUGAGCUAAAAAAACAAAAAAANGUUUCAUAAAUUUGACCCGAAACCAAGCGAUCUAGUCAUGAGCAGGUUGAAAAAAUGAUAAUACGUUUUGGAGGACCGAACCCACAUCUGUGGCAAUAGAUGGGGAUGACUUGUGACUAUGGGGUGAAAAGCCAAUCGAGCUUGGAAAUAGCUGGUUUUCUGCGAAAUCUAUUGAGGUAGAGCGUAUAGCUUUUCUUGAAAGUAAAAAGGAGGUAGAGCACUCGCUGGGUGAUGGUGGCCCAAAGCCUUACUGAUCCCAUGGAAACUCCGAAUACCUUUUUACAAGCUAUACAGACAGACUAGAGGCGCUAAGGUCUCUAGUCAAGAGGGAAACAACCCAGAUCGAACGCUAAGGUUCUAAAGCGAUUUCUGAGUGGUAAAGGAAGUUAGUAAGCUAAGACAACCAGGAGGUAGGCUUGGAAGCAGCCAUCCUUUUAAGAAAGCGUAAUAGCUCACUGGUCUAUGUUUACUAGCACCUAAAAUGUAUCGGAGCUCAAGAUAUUCACCGAAGCGGCGAUUUUAGAUGGUCUCUUUAUCUUUUUUUGUAAAAAAAGAGGAGAAAAAAAACCAUUUAAAAGGUAGCAGAACGUUCUGUAAAUCGCAGAAGCUUUAUUGAAAAAUAAAGUUGAGAUAUCAGAAGUGAGAAUGCUGACAUGAGUAACGACAAAUCAUGUGAAAAUCAUGAUAGCCGAAAGUCCUAGGUUUUCUACAGACCGUAUUUCGAUGUAGAGUGAAUCGGCCCCUAAGACAAAAGCGAUAGCUUUUUGUUAAUGGGUACAAUGUGUUUCAAUCAUUGAUGUGAUAUCAAAUGACGGCUUUUUUUUNGUUUCACAAGAAAAUGGAUAUCUUGAAAAAAUAAAAAAANGCCCAGGAAAGAAUUUGAUUAGACUCUUUUUUCAUUGAAAAAAGAAAACACCGUACUUAAACCGACACUGGUGGACUUGUUGAAUAAACUCAGGCUAAGAGAGAAUCAUGUUGAAGGAACUCGGCAAAUUACCUCCGUAACUUCGGAAAAAGGAGGACAUGGGGCUUUUUUUUGUAAAGAUUUCAUCUUUUUAGAAAAAAACCCAUGUGGCACAAAAUAGGGGGUGGCGACUGUUUACUAAAAACACAGGACUCUGCUAAGUGGUAACACGAUGUAUAGGGUCUGACACCUGCCCGGUGCUGGAAACUUAACAGGAGGGGUGCUCAUUGAAAUCAACCAGAAUUCAAUGAAAGCUCUAAAUGCAAGGCCCAGUAAACGGCGGCCGUAACUCUGACGGUCCUAAGGUAGCGAAAUUCCUUGUCGGGUAAACGAGAACUUGCCCGAAUGUUUCGUAAGAAACAAUGUUCUCUUACAAAAUUGUUUAAUUUUGUAAGAGAAAACUAGUAAACCGACUCAUAACGGGGGAAGCCUAAGAUUUGAAAACAGCAAAUUAUGGUAAUCCCGUGGGAAGUUUGAUAAUCGUAUUUGAAAACACUUUUUAACUCUUCUUUUAUCAAACCCCGUAACGACUGACUCGAAAGAGGAGGCUUGAAACUUCGGUUCAGGCAACACGUCGGCCCUUAUCAGUUUUCUAACAUACUUAUGGUUAUGGUUUACCUUCUUGAUUUUCUAAAUCAAGAAGGUAAGACUUAAAAAAAAAAUCUAUGAAAAAAAUUUCUAGUGACUAUAUUGUGGUUUUUACCGAUGGAGAGGGAUGUUUUUCUCUGGAUAUCAGUAAACAUAAAAAACGUCCAUUUGGACUUUGUUUGACACCUAGUUGGAGUGUGUCUCAAAAUUCGACUUCAGUGACUGUCUUAAAAGACAUCAAAUCUUUUUUCGGGUGUGGUUUUAUUCGACCUGAUCGAAAAACAAGUAAAUAUGAAGUCCGUGAUUUAGAGAGUUUACAACACAAAAUCAUUCCUUUUUUCUUCUUUUUUUUGUGAAAAAAAAAAGAUAAGAAUCCUUUAAGAACUCAAAAAAAUCAAGAUUUUGUCUUGUUUUGUGAAAUUUGCGAUGGAUUACAAAAAGGAGACCACUUGAAUCAAACAGGUCUGUUGAGAUUAGUAGAUUUAGCGUAUUCAAUGAAUCAGAGUGGUGUGUAUCGUCGUAAAUCGAAACACCAAUUAGUGUCUGAAAUUGAAGACUGGAAAAACAAUAACCUACGAGUUUGUGAUAAGGUGAAGGUAUAGUCUGAUCUUUAUGGAAACAUAAAGCUAACACAAUUAACAGUAUGAAGUUCCGACCUGCAUGAAUGGUGUCACGACUUCCCCGCUGUCUCCAACAUGAUCUCAGUGAAAUUGAAUUCUCCGUGAAGAUGCGGAGUUCCCGAAAGUAGACGGUAAGACCCUAUGCACCUUUACUAUAGUUUACCAUUGAAAAAAGAGUCUGAAUGUAGAGAAUAGGUGGGAGUUUCUUUUUCUUUGAUUCAUCAGAGAUCUAAGAAACAACAGUGAAAUACCACCCUUUCUUUCUCAUUUUUCUAACCUUAAAAACUAAAUGUCUAUUUAAUUUUCUCAAUCAAGAGAUUUAUCUAGAUCAAGGGACAAUGGUAAAUGGGUAGUUUGACUGGGGCGGUCGCUUCCUAAAGAGUAACGGAAGUGUGCGAAGGUAAGCUCAAGCUGGACGGAAAUCAGCUGUAGAGCGUAAUGGUAAAAGCUUGCCUGACUGUAAGACUUACAAGUCGAACAGAGACGAAAGUCGGCCAUAGUGACCCGGGAGUUCUUGGUGGAAAGGCUCUCGAUCAACGGAUCAAAGGUACGCUAGGGAUAACAGGCUGAUGACUCCCAAGAGCUCUUAUCGACGGAGUCGUUUGGCACCUCGAUGUCGACUCAUCGCAUCCUCGAGCUGAAGAAGGUUCGAAGGGUUCGGCUGUUCGCCGAUGAAAGCGGUACGUGAGUUGGGUUUAGUACGUCGUGAGACAGUACGGAUCCUAUCUUUUUCGGGUGGUAAAAAAUUGAGGGUGGCAUUCUCUUGUACGAGAGGACCGAGAAUGACGAACCUCUAGUGUAUCAGUUGUCCUGCCAAGGGCAUCGCUGAGUAGCUACGUUCGGAAUGCAGAACUGCUGAAAGCAUCUCAAGCAGGAAAGCAAACCCAAAACAAGUUUUUGAGUUCGUCGAAGACUACGACGUAAUAGGCGAGAUGUGAAAACAUAGUGAUAUGAUAGCUAACUCGUACUAACUCACCUUAUCUCCAGAAA